RNAcentral lists this non-coding RNA (88 nucleotides) under unclassified sequences. The record is from RNAcentral.
ACCACACUGCCGCCGGGCAGUUGCGCGAGGAGCGCCGGAUUUCGUAUCGUUAGGCCAUUGAAGAUGCGGAAUGCGGCGCUUUUUGUUU